This 253-nucleotide ribosomal RNA is filed under the name uncultured bacterium. Its description in RNAcentral is "partial 16S ribosomal RNA". It matches the Rfam family "Bacterial small subunit ribosomal RNA", at positions 524 to 776 of the family's 1533-position model. The record is from RNAcentral.
UACGAAGGGGGCAAGCGUUGUUCGGAAUCAUUGGGCGUAAAGCGCGUGUAGGCGGUCUAUUAAGUCGGGUGUGAAAUCCCUGGGCUCAACCGAGGAAGUGCAUUCGAAACUGGUAGACUAGAAGAUGGUAGAGGAUGGUGGAAUUCCAGGUGUAGAGGUGAAAUUCGUAGAUAUCUGGAGGAAUACCGGUGGCGAAGGCGGCCAUCUGGGCCAUUCUUGACGCUGAGACGCGAAAGCGUGGGUAGCAAACAGG